AGCGGCGGACGGGUGAGUAACACGUGGGUAAUCUACCCGGAUGUGGGGGAUACCUCGCCGAAAGGCGAGCUAAUACCGCAGACAGAUCCCCGGGACCUCGGUCCUGGUGAUCAAAGCGGGGGUCGCAAGACCUCGCGCUUCCGGAGGAGCCCGCGCCCGAUUAGCUAGUUGGCGAGGUAAUGGCUCACCAAGGCGACGAUCGGUAGCCGGCCUGAGAGGGUGAUCGGCCACACUGGAACUGAGACACGGUCCAGACUCCUACGGGAGGCAGCAGUGGGGAAUCUUGCGCAAUGGGCGAAAGCCUGACGCAGCAACGCCGCGUGGAGGAUGAAGGUCCUUGGAUUGUAAACUCCUGUCGAACGGGAAGAAUGAUUCGGGCGCUAAUAUCGCCCGAAUUUGACUGUACCGCCAGAGGAAGCCCCGGCUAACUCCGUGCCAGCAGCCGCGGUAAUACGGGGGGGGCGAGCGUUAUUCGGAAUUAUUGGGCGUAAAGGGCGCGUAGGCGGCCUGGUAAGUCGAAGGUGAAAUCCCCGAGCUCAACUUGGGAACUGCCUUUGAUACUGCCGGGCUUGAGUCCGGGAGGGGAAAGUGGAAUUCCCAGUGUAGCGGUGAAAUGCGUAGAUAUUGGGAGGAACACCAGUGGCGAAGGCGGCUUUCUGGACCGGAUCUGACGCUGAGGCGCGAAAGCGUGGGUAGCAAACAGGAUUAGAUACCCCGGUAGUCCACGCCGUAAACGAUGGGUACUAGGUGCAGGGGGUAUCGACCCCUCCUGUGCCAAAGCUAACGCAUUAAGUACCCCGCCUGGGGAGUACGGUCGCAAGGCCGAAACUCAAAGGAAUUGACGGGGGC
This 849-nucleotide ribosomal RNA is filed under the name uncultured bacterium. RNAcentral describes it as "bacterial SSU rRNA". It matches the Rfam family "Bacterial small subunit ribosomal RNA", at positions 94 to 920 of the family's 1533-position model. The record is from RNAcentral.